CUAGGGUUUCUCCCUUCCGCAGAUACCCUAGCUCUAUAAAUACGACGAGAGAGCCCUCGCCGCCACCACCACACCCGGUUCGCCGACUCCCCAAUUCCGCCGCCGCCAUCGUCGUGUGGAGGUACUGAGAGCGAGAGCGUCGACGCCCGGGCCGCUGCCAUGAGGGCCAAGUGGAAGAAGAAGAGAAUGAGGAGGCUCAAGAGGAAGCGCCGAAAGAUGAGGCAGAGAUCCAAGUAGUUGCAUUGUCCUUAGGGGUGGAUGCCUUCUUACAUCAUGCUGUCUGGUGCAUUGAGAUGAUGGUGUCUUCUGAUUCUUGAUGCGUUCUGGCUGUAGGUGUGGGAAGCCCGCCUCUUUUGGUUUUUGUUAAUUUUAGUUGCUGAAACGUCUGGUUAUGUUCCUAGACUGAAGUAUUAUGUAAUGUGAUGACAGUGUUUUGCUUUAUGAAAGUUUAUGAUAUUUUAAUUACUCUUGUUCUC
This is a long non-coding RNA of Oryza brachyantha (malo sina), 476 nucleotides long. RefSeq lists it as uncharacterized. Lineage: Eukaryota; Viridiplantae; Streptophyta; Magnoliopsida; Poales; Poaceae. The transcript has 2 exons. The record is from RefSeq and is a predicted model, not a curated record.